Molecule: ribosomal RNA, 299 nt
Filed under: Glomus sp. (unid)
Lineage: Eukaryota; Fungi; Glomeromycota; Glomeromycetes; Glomerales; Glomeraceae
Source: RNAcentral
CAGUCGUACCUGCGGGUAAUCAGCCUUUCGGGUAUGAUUCUGUGGAGUGUGGGGAGCUAAACACCCUCAUGCCUGCAUAUUCGUGCUCUUGGGUGUACUUGCUCGUGUGGUUGGUUAACAUCAAUUUCGGAUGCCAUAAAUGACUGGAGGAAUGUAGCUUCGAUCUCGUAUUGAAGUGUUAUAGCCUUCGGUAGAUGGUGGUGAUCGGGGAUUGAGGAUUGCAACGGAUACCCGUUCGGGGCUACCGUGUCUGAUCUCUGAUCGUUGCUCGUGGUACCGAAAGGCGUGCUUACGGUUAU